This 555-nucleotide long non-coding RNA is filed under the name Marmota monax (woodchuck). The record is from RNAcentral. Lineage: Eukaryota; Metazoa; Chordata; Mammalia; Rodentia; Sciuridae.
CUUAACUACACCCCAAGUCCUGGCUGGUGGCCAGGGGUGCAGGGCUGACUGAUGAGGCUAGUGGAAAUUCCUUCUUUACCUACCACCCUUAGGAAACCUCUCUGCAAACUGGGGAUGGAUGGUAACCGAGGUUCAGAAACAGCAGGGAUCCCAGGACGCCUCUGAGGGGGUAGUAAGAGUUUUAACCUUUACUGAGCUCCUACUGCGUGCCAGAAACUUUAAUAUGGCCUUACACAAUAGUCUGGUAAGACAACUGAUACUCUUCUCUUUAUUUUACAGAUGAGGAAAUUGAGACUCAACGUGGUUGUGAAUUCCCCCCUGUCACGCGGCGAAUUGAGAGAGCAAAAAAUUCACUCUUAGGUGUGACUCUAAAGCUUUGCUCUUUCAUGAAAUCCUGGAACACUGUUCCCAGCUCUCAUCUGGACUGCUUCCCACCCGUUUUGACAGCUAAGGCAGGAGCCAAGACUUGCGUAUGGGAGGUGGGGCCGGCAGCCCGGCACCACGCCCUGGCUCUGGCCUCAGCCAAUGGUGACGCGGCACCCGCAGCCUUUCGUC